UACGUAGGUGGCAAGCGUUGUUCGGAAUUACUGGGCGUAAAGGGCGCGCAGGCGGCCGAUCAAGUCAGGCGUGAAAGCCCCGGGCUCAACCCGGGAGGUGCGCUUGAGACUGGUCGGCUGGAGUUCGGGAGAGGUGAGUGGAAUUCCCAGUGUAGAGGUGAAAUUCGUAAAUAUUGGGAAGAACACCGGUGGCGAAGGCGGCUCACUGGACCGAAACUGACGCUGAGGCGCGAAAGCGUGGGGAGCAAACAGG
This 253-nucleotide unclassified non-coding RNA is filed under the name uncultured Alphaproteobacteria bacterium. RNAcentral describes it as "contains 16S-23S intergenic spacer region". It matches the Rfam family "Bacterial small subunit ribosomal RNA", at positions 524 to 776 of the family's 1533-position model. Lineage: Bacteria; Pseudomonadati; Pseudomonadota; Alphaproteobacteria. The record is from RNAcentral.